GCACAACACAAUCUCUGUCAGGAAAGAACUUCACAGCAGAGCAAUUAUAAACAAACCCCAGAAGUGACUCAAAUUGUUGAAUAGUGAAUUUAAUAAGAUGAAGAAAGCAAGAAAGGUAUGUGAUCAGGAACCAAGGUCCAAAUACCAAAAGAAAAUCCAAUUUUGCUAUAGGCCGCUUAUUUUUUCCUCAAAAUUACACAAAUUCAACAGAUAAGGUAUAGGUUUCUAUAAAACUCAUCACAAUUUGUUAAGGUUUAACCAGGAAGUUUCUACAGCAACUCAGUAUCCAUCCCAAUAAAGGAAUGGAGCUACAACUAGGACUGCUUAAAACAUUCUCAGAAGAGAAGCCAAAGUUAAUACCAGCAUCAUUCCACAGACUGAAUGUUCAGUUUAUAUGUCUCAGCUUUCUACUUCCACUACCUCCAUUUAUUGAGGUUUUAAAUCAAUAUUUUCAGCAAAGGUUACAAUCUCGUACAACCAGAAAACAAGAAACUAUCAAAUAAGAAGAACAAUUUGAUUUAGGCAAAAAAA
This 531-nucleotide unclassified non-coding RNA is filed under the name Hevea brasiliensis (rubber tree). Lineage: Eukaryota; Viridiplantae; Streptophyta; Magnoliopsida; Malpighiales; Euphorbiaceae. The record is from RNAcentral.